RNA transcript from Brachypodium distachyon (stiff brome), 1243 nucleotides. RefSeq lists it as uncharacterized. The transcript has 3 exons. NCBI's taxonomy places the organism in Eukaryota, Viridiplantae, Streptophyta, Magnoliopsida, Poales, Poaceae. The record is from RefSeq and is a predicted model, not a curated record.
CUUUGCAUUAUCUCUAUUGUUUAAUACGUACUAAGAAAAAAUCCAUCUCUAAUUUGGCAACUACCCGACCAUCUUUCUCCUUGGGCAAAACCUAGCCGCGGCGCCGCCGUCUCUGGUAUUCUGGUGGCCUCCCAUGCCUUCAGAUCUCCCCUGCUCCAUCUCCUCAUGCCGGCGCACCUCCCUUCCCGGCCGGCGCACCUCCUCGUUCCCUCUCCCAUCCCAUCCCCCACGGCGGCCUCUGCCCUGCCUCCGAGAACUAUGACGGCCUACAACACUGAUGCCACCACCUGCCUCCUCUCUCCCCCUGCGGGGAUGGCUUCUCGUCUAUGAGACCAACUUCGUGCUGGCCCUCUACAACGGCGAGCUUGCGUGCUUCCUACUGGAAGAAGAAAGACCUCGCCCCCACGCCCCCAUCCGACCUUCAGCAGUACCUGGACAGAUUCAUGCGUGCAAGGUAAUAUGCUCUUUGUUUUUGUUUUGUUGUUUCAGUCACCCAAAUAAAUUACAUCCGAGAACAGAUAUAACUUGCUCGCUUGAUGUAUAGCUAGUUGGAUGGAAUAUCGAGAUUCUCUCUGUUAACAUAAUAGUUGUCAAUUACGCAACUUGUUAAUUAGUACUGUACUAAGAAACACUUCUAUGUAGUUUUCUGAACUCCCAUCGCUCAAUUGACCACUAUGGACUCAAUUUUAAAUUGAUCUUACAGGUUACUUUAUCUGUUAAUUUCUCCUAAAUUAUCAAUCCUCUACAAUUUGUUUGACAAUAUGCCCCGCGAGAUUAUCCUCAUGAAUCGAGAUGGCAAGUGUUCUCCACCAACACUUCCUUUUUUUUUCAUGAAGUGAACAAUCUUGUGAUGGUAAUGUUACCUUGGUGAAGUGAACAAUCUUGUGAAGCCGACUCUGAUCAGUUAUGUACAGCAAUUGUAUUGUACUGAAACUAUGCUCUUGUGGCUUCUAGUUCUGUACUGGCAAAAGGUUACUCUGAGAGAAUUUUUUUCUGUGACGAUUUUUCCAAGAAUCACACUACAAGGCUACAAGGAUAUCAAGAGAUGCGUAGAAGACAGGGGAGCUGAUGUGGAGCUGAUGUACUGUCAUCUGUAGAAACUAUGAAGUUUCAACUAGUUAGAAUUUGUUUUUGAGUGACAUAUAUGCAAUUUUUUACAUGGAUGUUGUACAACUCAGCUAAAAUUCUAUCAUGGCUAUUCAUAAUAUAAUGUUAUAGGCCUUGCAGUGUGAUGCAUUUUUUC